Paramormyrops kingsleyae is the source of this 1877-nucleotide long non-coding RNA. RefSeq lists it as uncharacterized. The record is from RefSeq and is a predicted model, not a curated record. NCBI's taxonomy places the organism in Eukaryota, Metazoa, Chordata, Actinopteri, Osteoglossiformes, Mormyridae.
CUCUUGCCAGCAAUGCAGAGCUUUUUGGCAUGAUGGGAGGGGGAGACAGAGCCCCCCCAAGCACAAACACUCCAAACACUCUCAAAUACAUAGCCCAUCCCUCCAAGUGCACACACAUAUACGCACCUCUCCAUCACUUCAGCCACAAAGUCACACACACAUACACUCUAACACUCAAACAGCUAUUGACUCCUCCAACCUUAAAACAAGACUUUUUUUUCCCCCUGCCAGGAUUAAAACUCUCCAGGCCAGAUAAGACUGAACAUGAAUCACUGGGACCAUGCAGAGCAUCACACACCAAGGCGAUGGACCACCUCCAUGGGUACACAGGCAAGCAGAGAUGGCAGGCUUUCAGAAACAAGAAUAAAAGAGCAUGUGAUGUCAUUCUGCUAACCUGCGUGACAAGGAGGUGGACAAUCAGUAUCAUUUAGGUUUUGUUACAUGCAUGAGCAGCAUGUAUAAAAGACAAGGCAGAGGGCAGAGAGAGACAAGCACUAUUCGUUACUGGGCUAUCAACACCUCUACCUCGCAAAUACAGUGACACCUAUGCCUGUAAACAUGAUCUUGACAAGCAACCCUGACCGGAUAUAAUUUUCUGUUAAAAAAAAUAAGCCUAUGGGGGUACCUGUGUGGGUGCCCCCUGGUCUUUGUAACCUUGGCGAGACAUUUUGGGUUUCGAUAAUAACAAUAGGUAUACAUGGCAUACAUAAAAUUACAAGUAACAGAAUUUUUAGCUGUUUUCAUUGCUCAAGUUUUGUUUUGGGGGGAGGGACAUUGAUUCAAUGUGAAAAUCCCAUAAUGAUCGAUAACCAGUUAAGUGUGGGUUGCAAAUAUGUGGUUUAAGAAAAGUAACAUUCAAAGCUCUAGAAGUAAGACACUUUGAGAAUCCACUUUAGGCUACUUACGCGGAAAUGUAUCGUAAUCUGGUGCCCAUCAGACCUAAUCUUACUGUUUGUCAUUAGUUUGGGUAUUUAUAAUAAAUAUAAGCACUUGGAAAUUCUUAGAGGACUAAUCCUGAGCUAAAAGGGACUCUGACUGAGCAGGAAGGUUUCCAAGCUUAGCUCAGGGGACGCUGUAAUGGAUUGACAGCCCCACGCCCCUGGUAAUCAGCGACCACACGCUGCGUGACUCAUAGGCAGAGCACUGCGUUCAGCACUGGACCAGAACCUACAGCAAUCGGCAACAUCACUGGCCUGUAACACAUUGUUUCUCAUUGAAGUCAGAGGAAAGCCAAGAUCUGCCCUGGAGAUUUUUCAAAGCAUGAUACCACACCGCUUUUAUGUCUGCUCUGUCUUAUUAGGGGCCUUCGAAGAGCCUGCGACUUUAGUAACGGGUGGAGACGACGUGACUGAUUUUAAUAAGCUGGACCGUAUCGGACCGUCUGCUUGGCUGAGGGUCAGCCAUACCCUGAUCAGAUUGAUCUACAGCUUAUAGAUCCAACAAGCGUAGCAGGAGCUACAACCACACAGCCCAGCAAUAAAAAAAUUAUCUCAUGAGACUCAUCGCAUGAAACUCUGUCUCAGACAUUCGUUUUAUUAUGUCAUCUGGAGCAAAAGUUCCCGGUGAACAGAUCUGUGGGGAGAAGCUAAGCUAUGCAAAACGAACAAGUGCAGCCGGUCUGGAAUACGAUUACCAGGACUUACCCCUGGAGCCAGGCCUGCUGAGCUGGUCAGCACCUGAUGGUUGGGUCACCCCUGUGAUUCAGCCAAGUCCAGCCCAAAAUAGCUUGGUGGAGCGAUCUUGUAGGCUUACCACCCGCAAGAUGAAAGACGAGGGUCGGGUUCAGUGCCAUUUGGGCGAGAGGAAUGUGCAGGAAGGACCCAGAUAGAUCAGGCUUUGGCAAUGGACACUGGCUUUGAGAACGUGGAAUGUUACCU